UGGGGGAUAUUGCACAAUGGGCGAAAGCCUGAUGCAGCGACGCCGCGUGGGUGAUGAAGGCUUUCGGGUUGUAAACCUCUUUCGCUAUCGAACAAGGCCCGCUUAGGGUGGGUUGAGGGUAGGUGGAGAAGAAGCGCCGGCUAACUACGUGCCAGCAGCCGCGGUAAUACGUAGGGCGCGAGCGUUGUCCGGAAUUAUUGGGCGUAAAGGGCUUGUAGGCGGCUUGUUGCGCCUGCUGUGAAAACGCGGGGCUUAACUUCGCGCGUGCAGUGGGUACGGGCAGGCUUGAGUGUGGUAGGGGUGACUGGAAUUCCAGGUGUAGCGGUGGAAUGCGCAGAUAUCUGGAGGAACACCGAUGGCGAAGGCAGGGCACUGGGCCAUUACUGACGCUGAGGAGCGAAAGCAUGGGUAGCGAACAGG
Molecule: ribosomal RNA, 420 nt
Filed under: bacterium
Lineage: Bacteria
Description: partial 16S ribosomal RNA
Rfam family: Bacterial small subunit ribosomal RNA
Source: RNAcentral